Long non-coding RNA from Macrosteles quadrilineatus (aster leafhopper), 1300 nucleotides. RefSeq lists it as uncharacterized. The record is from RefSeq and is a predicted model, not a curated record. Lineage: Eukaryota; Metazoa; Arthropoda; Insecta; Hemiptera; Cicadellidae. The transcript is spliced from 3 exons.
UCCAGCUACUAGGAGGUCACGAAUUGUGGAUAUUUAUAGGCAUGCACUGUGGAUUCGACACUCCCUGGUGUGGAUGAACGUCCACACGAGUGAAUACUUACUACGACUCUCCCCAGUACUAUCCUGAUAAUUAGACCAAUUCGUAUAGUAGGCCUAUACCAAGGCAAUAAUGUGGUUCGGAUUCCACUAUAAACUGUAUGUCCCUUAGUUGCCAUUAGCUGUUUGGGCUAUUAAUUAACAGUUGUGUCUAAGGAAUGUCGGUCUUAGUCACUAACAAGACUACAGGAUCGCUCCACUCAUCCUACACUCAUCUCCAUUCAUACUUGGCUUAAAAUACCUACUUUGUAUGGUCGUCAAGUAAUAAGAAAGAAAGUAGGCCUAUUAAAGAAAUACCUUCAUUGGAAUGAGUGUAGGACGUAAACUUAAGUGCUGUCAAAUAUUCUAGAGCUGACUUGGAUUAUAUCAUUCAUUGCUGAUGACUUCAAUGUUAAUUUUAUAGAUGAUCCUGGAGCAAAGGCUGUAAUUUGACCUGAACCCAAAUUGGUCUUUAUUUUAAAUAUUGUAAGUUAAGAGGACUGACCUUUCUGGACGACAUUGCUAUCGACAUCACUGCAGAUGAGAGAGAGAGACCAGAGUUGUGUACCCUGGAGGCAAUUACCAUACUGCUGUGAUAAUGUUCCUUGGUCUAACCAUAACUUAAGUGAGAGCUGUAGCCUACCAGUAGAAUGGGGGCGUUGUAAUUAAUAUCCUCCGACAUUGGAGGGUACAGGGGAGAGGUGCCAGAGGAAGAGGAGAUGGAGGAUGGGGCAAAGUAAAGACGAAGAUUGAAAAGAGCUAACUUAUGGCCUGAUGACAGGGUAGAAGGUGAUGGAGGCAUGGUGGUUGGGGGUGAGGAGGCUGAAGAAGUGGAGACAAAUCUCUUUAGAUUCAUUAUGUUGAUUAGUUUAAUAUUUAUUUGGAAUAUCAGUAUACUUUUAUUUAAAUUUUUUUCUCAUUUAGAUUAUUAAACUAAGAUCAUUUUAUUGUUUUUAUGAAAAUGUUUUCUUAAAUUUUUAAUAUUUGUUUGUACUUCUGCCUGGUAAAAAAAAUACUGUUUUUUUAGUAUGUUUGUUAAAAUGAUUACUUUCACUAACUGACCUUGUCUUGGGUGAAAAGAGAUAUCUUGAUAUUUAACUAGCAGGGUGCCUGUUCUAUAGGCGGGGAUCGUAUAAGUCAGUUGAAACCUUCUUAUAUUUUGAUAAGUUGUAAAUUAAUCAUUUUCAACUUUAUAUAGUGUAGAUCGCUACUCCUGUAUUGAUGU